GUUGGAAUACAUCAGGAUCUAGUUUGUUAAGUUAUUUGAUCAGCCUUACCAGCACUAGUUUCACUUAUGGCCCUAGGGGAGGCAGAUUGCAGCAUUCAUGUCACAGUCAUCUCCAAUUUCCUCUACUUUCCCUCUGAGUCCCAGCUUAUAUUCUACUCAACAUCCAGGCUUCAAUGUUCCUGGUACUGAAUCUUAUCAACAAUACCAGGAUGAAUCUAGACCU
RNAcentral lists this unclassified non-coding RNA (223 nucleotides) under Hevea brasiliensis (rubber tree). Lineage: Eukaryota; Viridiplantae; Streptophyta; Magnoliopsida; Malpighiales; Euphorbiaceae. The record is from RNAcentral.